Molecule: transfer RNA, 75 nt
Filed under: Clostridia bacterium
Lineage: Bacteria; Bacillati; Bacillota; Clostridia
Description: tRNA-Thr
Rfam family: tRNA
About the family: Transfer RNA (tRNA) molecules are approximately 80 nucleotides in length.
Source: RNAcentral
GCCGGCGUAGCUCAGCGGUAGAGCAGGCGACUUGUAAUCGCCAGGUCGAGGGUUCGAGUCCCUCCGCCGGCUCCA